Molecule: ribosomal RNA, 433 nt
Filed under: uncultured bacterium
Lineage: Bacteria
Description: partial 16S ribosomal RNA
Rfam family: Bacterial small subunit ribosomal RNA
Source: RNAcentral
AACGAACGCUGGCGGCAUGCCUAACACAUGCAAGUCGAACGAGACCUUCGGGUCUAGUGGCGCACGGGUGCGUAACGCGUGGGAACCUGCCCUUAGGUUCGGAAUCACUCCCCGAAAGGUGUGCUAAUACCGGUUAAUGUCUUCGGACCAAAGAUUUAUCGCCUUUGGAUGGGCCCGCGUUGGAUUAGCGAGUUGGUAGGGUAAAAGCCUACCAAGGCGACGAUCCAUAGCUGGUCUGGGAGGAUGAUCAGCCACACUGGGAAUGAGACACGGCCCAGACUCCUACGGGAGGCUGCAGUGGGGAAUAUUGGACAAUGGGCGAAAGCCUGAUCCAGCAAUGCGGCGUGAGAGAUGAAGGCCGUAGGGUUGUAAAGCUCUUUUACCCGGGAUGAUAAUGACAGUACCGGGAGAAUAAGCUCCGGCUAACUACGUG